GACGUAGGGCGCGAGCGUUGUCCGGAUUUAUUGGGCGUAAAGAGCGUGUAGGCGGCCCGGUAAGUCCGCUGUGAAAGUCGGGGGCUCAACCCUCGGAUGCCGGUGGAUACUGUCGGGCUUGAGUACGGAAGAGGCGAGUGGAAUUCCUGGUGUAGCGGUGAAAUGCGCAGAUAUCAGGAGGAACACCGAUUGCGAAGGCAGCUCGCUGGGACGUUACUGACGCUGAGACGCGAAAGCGUGGGGAGCAAACAGG
This 253-nucleotide ribosomal RNA is filed under the name uncultured bacterium. RNAcentral's name for it is "partial 16S ribosomal RNA". It matches the Rfam family "Bacterial small subunit ribosomal RNA", at positions 524 to 776 of the family's 1533-position model. The record is from RNAcentral.